RNAcentral lists this ribosomal RNA (470 nucleotides) under uncultured bacterium. Its description in RNAcentral is "bacterial SSU rRNA". It matches the Rfam family "Bacterial small subunit ribosomal RNA", at positions 28 to 507 of the family's 1533-position model. The record is from RNAcentral.
GAUGAACGCUGGCGGCGUGCCUAAUACAUGCAAGUCGAACGAGGCCCUCUUCCUUCGGGAGGAGGUGUCCUAGUGGCGAACGGGUGAGUAACACGUUGGUGACCUACCCCGAAGAGGGGGACAACCCCGGGAAACUGGGGCUAAUACCCCAUGUGAUCCUAAGGAUUAGAUGCCUAAGGAUGAAAUGGAGCAAUUCGCUUCGGGAGGGGCCUGCGGCCUAUCAGCUAGUUGGUGAGGUAAUGGCUCACCAAGGCGACGACGGGUAGGGGACCUGAGGGGGUGACCCCCCACACUGGAACUGAAACACGGACCAGACACCUACGGGUGGCAGCAGUAGGGAAUAUUGCACAAUAGGCGAAAGCCUGAUGCAGCAACGCCGCGUGCGCGAUGAAGGCCUUAGGGUUGUAAAGCGCUUUUCUGGGGGACGAGAAAGGACGGUAUUUCAGGAAUAAGUCUCGGCUAACUACGUG